This 117-nucleotide ribosomal RNA is filed under the name Saimiri boliviensis boliviensis (Bolivian squirrel monkey). The record is from RNAcentral. Lineage: Eukaryota; Metazoa; Chordata; Mammalia; Primates; Cebidae.
GCUUAUGACCAUGCCACCCUGAACGCACCCGAUCAUGCCUGAUCUUGGAAGCUGAGAGUUAGGGUCAGGACUGGUUAGUACGUGGUUGGGAAAAAAACUGAAGCUGAAGAGGCUGCU